Molecule: ribosomal RNA, 843 nt
Filed under: Arthrobacter sp.
Lineage: Bacteria; Bacillati; Actinomycetota; Actinomycetes; Micrococcales; Micrococcaceae
Description: bacterial SSU rRNA
Rfam family: Bacterial small subunit ribosomal RNA
Source: RNAcentral
CCCGUCGGAUGAACGCUGGCGGCGUGCUUAACACAUGCAAGUCGAACGAUGAUCUCCAGCUUGCUGGGGGGAUUAGUGGCGAACGGGUGAGUAACACGUGAGUAACCUGCCCUUGACUCUGGGAUAAGCCUGGGAAACUGGGUCUAAUACCGGAUACGACCGUCCCGCGCAUGCGGUGGUGGUGGAAAGCUUUUGCGGUUUUGGAUGGACUCGCGGCCUAUCAGCUUGUUGGUGGGGUAAUGGCCUACCAAGGCGACGACGGGUAGCCGGCCUGAGAGGGUGACCGGCCACACUGGGACUGAGACACGGCCCAGACUCCUACGGGAGGCAGCAGUGGGGAAUAUUGCACAAUGGGCGAAAGCCUGAUGCAGCGACGCCGCGUGAGGGAUGACGGCCUUCGGGUUGUAAACCUCUUUCAGUAGGGAAGAAGCGAAAGUGACGGUACCUGCAGAAGAAGCGCCGGCUAACUACGUGCCAGCAGCCGCGGUAAUACGUAGGGCGCAAGCGUUAUCCGGAAUUAUUGGGCGUAAAGAGCUCGUAGGCGGUUUGUCGCGUCUGCUGUGAAAGACCGGGGCUCAACUCCGGUUCUGCAGUGGGUACGGGCAGACUAGAGUGAUGUAGGGGAGACUGGAAUUCCUGGUGUAGCGGUGAAAUGCGCAGAUAUCAGGAGGAACACCGAUGGCGAAGGCAGGUCUCUGGGCAUUAACUGACGCUGAGGAGCGAAAGCAUGGGGAGCGAACAGGAUUAGAUACCCUGGUAGUCCAUGCCGUAAACGUUGGGCACUAGGUGUGGGGGACAUUCCACGUUUUCCGCGCCGUAGCUAACGCAUUAAGUGCCCCGCCU